UCUUCGGGGGGAUAGAUGGGAGGAGACGCUGCUCAGUGUGUUUUCCCUGCAGCGGGUUCACGGUAACGGAGAAGAAGAAGAAGAAGAAGAAGAAGGAGAAGAGCCGCUCCUCUCUCUCGGUCACGGAUCCGUUCCUCCGGUGUGAUUCUCAUAACCGCACAUUGACCUUUUCUCUUUCUCCCGGUGUGUGCCUGCAUCCUGGCUUUUUAUUCUUUGUUUUUUUUAUUUGUUUUGUUGUACAUGGAGGCUGAGCAUCUUGUAACGAAACCUACCGCGGAGAUCUGACUGUGUGUAACCGACUUGGAUUUAAACCUUAUAUACCGAAUGAUCCCCUGAAAGAGCCUCGCAUCACCUCCUCCUCCUCGAGGUCCUACUACUAAAAGAUGCGGCUGGUAGCGCGGGUACCUGUCCUGGUUUCACACCGGCUCGGUUCGUCCCGGUAGACUGAUCCUACCCGGUGCUGCUGCGGUGUCACACCACAGUGAUUUAAAACAAGACAAACCGGAUCCGCCACCAGCAGCCUGACAGAUGGAUAACUACUCUACUCUACAACUGCAGUGUCUGGAAAUGACCACUAAGCGGAAGCUGAUUGGCCGGCUGGUGCCGUGCCGUUGUUUCCGUGGUGAAGAGGAAGUGAUCUCGGUGUUGGAUUACUCCCACUGCAGCCUGCAGCAGGUUCCCAAGGAGAUCUUCAGCUUCGAGAGAACUCUGGAGGAGCUCUACCUCGACGCCAACCAGAUUGAGGAACUACCCAAGCAACUCUUCAACUGCCAGGCCUUGAAGAAGCUGAGCAUGCCCGAUAACGACCUGUCCAACCUGCCCACCACCAUCGCCAGCUUGGUUAACCUCAAAGAGCUAGACAUCAGUAAAAACGGUAUCCAGGAGUUUCCCGACAAUAUAAAAUGCUGUAAAGGCCUGUCUGUGGUGGAGGCCAGUGUCAACCCGAUCACCAAACUCCCAGAUGGUUUCACGCAGCUCCUGAAUCUGACCCAGCUCUUCUUAAACGAUGCCUUCCUGGAGUAUCUGCCGGCUAACUUUGGCAGACUCUCCAAACUACGGAUCCUGGAGCUCAGAGAGAACCACCUGAAAACCAUGCCAAAGUCCAUCCACAGACUGACACAGUUGGAGAGGUUGGAUCUGGGUAGCAAUGAAUUCUCUGAGAUGCCGGAGGUGUUGGAACAGAUCCACAACCUAAGAGAGCUGUGGCUGGAUAACAACUCUCUACAAUGUAUACCAGGGGCGAUAGGAAAACUCCGUCAGUUGCGGUACUUUGACUUAGCUAAGAAUCGUAUUGAGACGUUGGACACGGAUAUCUCAGGCUGUGAGGCCUUAGAAGACCUGCUGCUAUCCUCCAACAUGCUGCAGCACCUCCCUGACUCUAUAGGAAUGUUGAAGAAGCUGACAACAUUGAAGGUAGAUGACAACCAGCUGACCUCACUGCCUAACACCAUCGGGAGUGCGAAGCCCAAGCAAGGUCUGUCUCUGUUGGAGGAGUUGGACUGUAGUUGUAAUGAGUUGGAGUCGUUGCCUCCCACUAUCGGCUACCUGCACAACCUGAGGACCUUCGCUGCUGACGAGAACUUCCUCUCAGAGCUGCCGCGGGAGAUCGGUAACUGUAAGAACGUGACGGUAAUGUCGCUGCGGUCCAACAAACUGGAGUUUCUUCCUGAUGAGAUCGGACAGAUGACCAAACUACGAGUCCUUAACCUCAGUGACAACAGGUUAAAGAAUCUACCGUUUACCUUUACUAAGCUGAAGGACCUGGCAGCUCUCUGGCUCUCUGACAAUCAGUCCAAGGCUCUGAUCCCGCUGCAGACAGAAGCCCACCCUGAAACCAAACAGAAGGUUUUGACCAACUACAUGUUUCCUCAGCAACCGCGACAUGAUGAGGAUUACCAGUCGGACAGUGACAGCUUUAAUCCUACUCUGUGGGAGGAGCAGAGACAGCAGAGGAUGACUGUGGCCUUUGACUUUGAGGACAAGAAAGAAGAGGAAGACAACUCUGGGAAGGUCAAGGUGGAGAUAAACCUAAAGCGCUACCCAACACCCUACCCUGAGGACCUCAAGAACAUGGUCAAGUCAGUGCAAAGCCUUGUGGGUAAAAGCGUACACGCCGGACACGGGCACCAGCACCAACACCAGCACCAGCAUCAGCACCAGCACCAGCACCAGCUGAGCACAGGCACUGCCACCUCGGCAGGAACCAACAUGGAACACACACACCUCAGCAAAGAACAGUACGAACCACCGUGGCCCCUGCCUCCCAAAGAGGUGAUAGACAGAGAGAUGCAGGACUUCUCUCAGUCUCAGCUAAUGGAUCAGGGAUCAAUGCACAACUCUGGCAUUGACAUUCCCAAGAGGAAGGACAAAGAGGACCUGACGGAGAGCUCUGAGGACUCGAUGGGCGGCUCUCCCAACGACAUCCGUAUCUCUGACAUGAGGCCCACCCUGGUGGAACCACCGAUGUACAAACCGAAGGUGGUGCUCCUGGGGAAGGACAAGAAAGAGUCUACAGAUGAAGAGGUGGAUAAGCUCCACUGUCUGAACCACAGCGGCUCCUCAGCCACCUACUCCGACUACUCUCCCUCACAGGGCUCCUCCGGCUCCUCCAACCCGCCCGGCAACGCACACUCACACUCACACGCACACUCUCACGCACACCCACACACUCCCGCCCUGCCGGCCCCGAGCAAGGACCAGGCCCCUCAAACACACUGGACCAACAGGCUGGCUCAGUCGUUCCCCAAACCCAUCGACUCCAAGCCCCUGCUGUCUCAGAGAGAAACCCCUCCAUCAGGAACCCUGCAGCAGCGCGGGGAUCGACGUCCACUGAGCGAGCCUUUUGAUUGGUCUGAGGCCCCUCACUAUGACAACACAGGUUUUGACGCUGAGGAGUCUCCUAUGGACCCACCAUCCUCGACUGGUAGUCAGGGAAACCCACCACUGGGCUCCAAACCCCGCCAGCCAUCACACGGACGGCGCCCCCUCCUCCGGCAGGAACGAAUCGUAGGUGUACCUCUGGAGCUGGACACUCAGACGCUCCCAUUCCACGGCAAUCAACGCUCUACUCCGGACAAUGACCCACAAUCUGGACAUUCUUCCCAGAACCCUUGGCAGAACUGGACCAGAACCCCCAGCCCGCUGGAGGACCGAACCGCUUUUCCCUCCAAACUGGACCUGACGCCCACCUCCAGCCCCAACCCUGACCGCAAGGACCUGGAUCCAAGAAUGGAACAAGGCUCAGGGCCUUUGCCUGGCAGCUGGACGUACCACGAGAAUCAGGGGGAUGGAAACAGGAAGGACCAGCUAACUGUCAGCGGGGGCAACAAGGUAACCGUGGUGAUGAGUAAAAGCUCGGACCGCCUGUCCCCCAUGAUGAGGGAGACGAGAUCCAAGUUUAAGAAGUCACAGAGCAUCGAUGAGAUUGACAUCGGCUCCUACAAGGUCUACAGUAUUCCCAUGGACAGCUACAGCUCAUCCAUCGAGCAACAGACUAGUUUGGACCGUCAAGAUUUGCCCGGUUCUAUGGAGCAGACCAACAUGUCGCGGUCACAGUCUGCCCCCAUGUUAGACGAUGAGCUGAUCUUCCCAGGACACGGCAACCAGAACCAGUCAGGACAGAACCAAAAACCUGCCGUCCCACAUAAGGCCUACCACUUCGACCACAACUACAACCCCCAGGUGACUAUGGACCGUCGGGUGCCUCCCCCCUUCCCCAACACACCAGAUUAUGUCAACCACUCAUCGAAAGCCUUGGAGUACAUCAAUCAACCAGGGAAGACAUUACCCAAGGAGUUGGUGAGCCCUCGGUAUCGUGCAUAUCCGCCACUGGAGAUGUUUUCUUUCCCCCAAUCGCCAAUCAACCAGGAUGGUCCGCCCAGCCAGCAUCAGCAGCCAAUCCCAGCACAGCGCUCCAGGCCAGGGUUUUUGAGGAGAGCAGAUUCAUUGGUGAGCUCCACAGAGCUCGCUUUGUUCCGCAGAGUCCAUGAAGCCCAGCAGGAGGCGCUGCAGGAAGCUCAGUACAGACAGCAGGCGGACCCUCCUCUUUAUGGUCGGGCUGUGGCCUACCCUACCCCCAUGGAGCACUCCGCGCUCACCAACAUGUCUGACAGCCAGAGCCAGAUGAUGCACAACAAGAGAAACGGUCGCUAUGAUGACGACUAUCCCACCUACCAGGAGCAGAAGAAGCCCAUGAUUGGUUAUCCAACCAAGAGCCUCACUCAGCGCCGCCCCCUGUCUGCCAGGAGCUACAGUACCGAGACCUACGGAGCAUCUCAGGCGCGUCCAGUGUCAGCCCGUCCCACCAUGGCUGCCCUGCUGGAGAAGAUGCCCCCUGACUACACUCUGGCAACCUGCCCUGAGAAAUCAUCUGACGACACCAUCAAAGUAAGACCUGGCGUACCGCUGAAGCCUGAAGACAUCACCUCCAGGAUGCCUGCCGACUGGAGGCAACAGCUGCUUAGGCACAUAGAGGCCAAACGAUUGGACAGGAGUGGUGUCCUAAAGCACAACACGCUCACGCUGGGCAUGCUCUGUCAGGGCGGGGGUCACGGCCAGGGGCGCAGCAGCACUUUGAACUUUAACCUUUACAAUAACACUAAGCAUGAACCCCCUGCUGGCCGCUGGCUGCCACUACCUCCUCCUCCGUCUGCUAACGCUACCCCCUCUCAGCAGGCUGCCAUGCUGGAUAACGACCAGGAGGGGCUGUCAGGGAGCAACCAGUGGGCUCCAUACUCACUUGGCAGGAGGGACGUCCCACCUGACAACCUCAUGAAAAAGAGUGCCCACUCCCACAACCCUUCCCACCAGUCACACAACACCAUGGUCGUCACUUCCUCUUCCUCCUCCUCCUCCACUACGCCUCAUCGUGUGGUCGUGCAGCAGGGCUACGACGGGAUGAUGACCAAAGGGGUCCAAUACCAACCGGGCAUGCCCCUGUCAGUGGUUCCCUCCGGGGGGCCGGGGCAGUACCAAGGCAACAUGUCUCAAGGCCAUCCUGCUCCUGGACAGGGUUACCCCGGCGCCGGCAUGCCCAUGGCUCUGUCCCCAUCUGGGAACCAGCCCCAGUACAACCCCCAUUCUUCCCACACAUCCCAUCAGCCCGCCACCAACCCUCAGUACCACGGCAACCAGGGCAUGGUCCAUAGCAACCAGGGAAUGGGCCACAGCAACCAGGGAAUGGGCCACAGCAACCAGGGAAUGGGCCACAGCAACCAGGGCAUGGGCCAUAGCAACCAGGGCAUGGGCCAUAGCAACCAGGGCAUGGUCCACAGCAACCAGGGCAUGGGCCAUAGCAACCAAGGCAUGGGCCAUAGCAACCAGGGCAUGGUCCACAGCAACCAGGGCAUGGUCCAUAGCAAUCAGGUUGUCAUGACCCACACCAACCCACGGCCUCAGAGCGCUCGCUGCCUACUGCAGACGAAAGGCCAGAAGAGCCAGGAUGGUUUCCAGGAACAGUUGUGUGUGAGAAUAGAGAAGAACCCUGGUCUUGGUUUCAGUAUCUCUGGUGGCAUCAGCGGCCAAGGGAACCCCUUCAAACCCUCCGACAUGGGUAUCUUUGUCACUAGGGUACAGCAUGACGGGCCCGCCGCCUCCGCCCUGCAGCCCGGAGACAAGAUUCUGCAGGUAACUUCCUCUCACUCGUCAUCAAAUGGGCCAGAAACAGCCAAAUCCUGCCCUCUCUCCCUCCCUAACCUUCCACACCCUCCCCUUGUUGUAUAAACAGCGAGGCAGAGCAUUCGGUAGGAAAAAAAAGAGGAAGUCAUGUACUCUUUACCUGCUAUCUAACAGAGGCGCACAAACACUAUUUAGCCACAGUGAUCACAAACUCACCCACUUGUGUUAUGUUAUCUUAGUGGGUGUUUACAUGUAGCGUACAAGAGACUUCAGUGUUUUCCCACCUGUAUAUUCUGCCUCUGUGUGUUCAUGUUGGUCCUGAAAUCAGGCAUGACACCCCCACCCUCUCUCUCUUAUUCAUCAUUAGCCAGUGACACCCAAAAGCUUUUGAGCCAAAGAUCACAGGAGGAUUUGAGUCGCUUAUACUGUUAUUAUCACGAUUACUAUGAAACUGUCAACUUGAAAGUUGUCUGAAGUUGUGAAACGAUUUUAGGGCCAUUUCGUAAGACAUCAAGGCUCAACAUACUUUAAGCCAGAGGUGGGAUCAAGUCAUUGUUUUGCAAGUCACAAGUAAGUCUCAAGUCUUUGCACUCAAGUCCUAAACUUUGAGUUUUGAGUUCUAAACAAGUCAUAAUGUGCUCCUCACCAAACGUAAUGCCGUUUGCGUUUUUUGUUGACCACCGCAUAGUUUUCGUAUGCAAACGAAAUUAUCAUUAGUAUCAUUUUUUCCAACUGACACUCAGUAACGUAACGUAACGUAACGUUAGUUCUUCAUGGUUCUCUCCCGCAACUUGAUUCGAUGUUGUCGGAUUCGUUCAAACGAAGUGGAUCUGAGGGAUUAAGUGUCGACUUGCUGGGAAUGAAAAGCGUUAACGUUAGUUGAUUCGGGAAAUGAAUUGACACUUUUUAGAUAACAUACUUUUUAAUCUAGGGAAGGUAUGAAGUAUUUUCAAGUCAGAAAGCUCAAGUCCAAGUGAAGUCACAAGUCAACCAUUAUCGUAACACAUUACGAAGAUCAUUUAAAUCGAAUGAGCAUGAAAGAAAAAAGUUAAACAACCAAUCAUAUAUAUACAGUACACACAUCAAAUGGGACAUUCACACAUGGGUAUCUAUGACCCUGGUGACAGGCUGACAAAAGCUUUGGUCUCACAAUAAAGUUGUUCUUUAUACUAUACUUAUUAUACGCCAGUAUUGCGUGCUACUUAGAUAUUUCCAGGUUAAUUAACUCUUUUUCUAAUAUAUUGUGCAUUGUUACACCUGGCAGGGAUACUUUCCCAGGGGCAACAAUAUGCUAUUGAAACAACUUCCACCUCCCAUGUAGUCAGUCAACUUAAAUCAAUAAACACGAAACAGAAAUUAUUCAUAAAUAUGAACUUUAUUUAUAUAUUUAUAUAUUAACUGUAGCUAUUAUGUCAAAGUAGUGCUAGAAUUGAGCCCAAAAGGAAGCGUGAGGAUUGUGAGAUGCUAGCACUUUACCAUGACAGAUUUACCUCUCCUCUUCCCCCCCAUUCCUGUCGUGUUUUCCUCCCCCUCGUCUUCUCUCCACAGAUGUACAGUUUAGCUGGAUGAACUCAUCUAAAAGCCCUUUUUUGUCUUUACCCCUUCUCUCUCUACAGCAUGACUGUGUAGCUCCUCCUCUUCUCUCUCUUUUCCCCAACAGUGAUGUGUUACUGAGAUAAUGAUGGCAGUGACCCUCCAUCCUCCCACACACACACAAACACACACACACACACACACACACACACAAACACACAUAUACACAUAUGUAUGGAAAUACUGCAGCACACAUACCUCUCUAUACAUCCAUGCACACACACAUGCUGUUGACUGUGCUGCGUGUUUGCCUUGCAGGCUAACGGACAUAGUUUUUUACACAUGGAGCACGAGACAUCCGUCUCUCUGCUGAAGAGUUUCCAGCGGACGGUGGACUUGGUGGUUCUGAGAGACAGCAGCACGUGCUAAAAAAAAAUAGUUUUAUAACAAACAAACAAACACAAACAACAACAACAACAACAACAACAACAGCGCUUCUCUACUCUGCUCAUCGCCAUCCCACGCCAUCCCACCUGCCCUCUGCUGGAGGCUUGUGGAACUGAAAAAUGAGCCGCCUUUUUUACCUUUUUAGGGGAACACACAGACAUUUAUUUGCCUAUUGCUGGACCAAAGGCAAAUACUAGUGCCAAAUGUACCAUAGGAAACAUAUCGGCUCUUCUGUCUAGCGGCGGUCAGGGACCCGAUCGACGGCUGAAGAGGGCUCUUUGAGUUCCUACAGGGCUGCUGCAGUUUGGAUUUUGUGGUUGUUAAUUAGGCAGUCAUCUGAUCAGUCAGUCUGAAUAGUUUGUUUUCUCCACUGCCUUUUAUUUUGCGGUCCAUGGUAGAUUAUUAAUAAUUUGUUUGGCGUAGCACAUGAUUCACUUUCCGUAUUCUUCAUUGCGUUGUCUUUUCUUUUGACUUUUAUCUUCUGUUCUUCUCUUUCCUCCGCUGUCUUGCUUUUUAUUCUUUCCUGCUGUCUUCUGUUCUGUUCUGCAGGUCUUAUUGCCUCCAGUGUACAGAAAUUGAAAACUUAAGACUUUCUGCCUUGUGUACAUAUAUAGAGCCGCAGCUUUCUAGAGCUGCGCUUUCCUUGGGGCCUGGACAGAAGUUUAUGAUUCAUAUAAAUAUUGUUGAUAAACCACAUUCUGAAUCCUCUCUUAUGAACAUACAGGGAUUAUUUCUCCAAAUGGACAAUUUUCUAAAGUAUACCACUGAUUUUUUUCUGUAAAGAAAACACUGUUGAUAGUUCAUUAUUGCUACUUUUUCUUUUUAAAACUGUUGCUUGCACAGGUGUACUGAAAAGAGCUAAAGCAAUACUUCUGAGGCUCGGCCCAUUGAGAUUUUCAGCAGAGCCUAACUUGUCCUACAGUGCCAUCUAUCGAGCGAGUCAUGCUAAUGUUUACACACACUGCCAUGCACGUGAGCUAACAGGCAACACACACACAGUAGACGUAUGUGCCCCCAUACACGACACAUAUGCAAUGGUGCGCUCUGUGCACUAUUCAUAAUGAAGCCCUGUCUAUAUUCUAGCCUGAUUUUACAAUUCAACUGCUAUAUUAAAACCAGUCACACACACACACACACACUGUAACAUUAUUCAUAAUAUCUGUGCCAUAUUUUGAAGUCCUGUUUUCUAGUAUUGUUACAGCAAUGUUGCAUCCUUUUUUUAGCUGUUUGAGUUGUAUGAUAAAGUCACAGCAUGCUUUCAUAUCAUUUGGUCACUGUCAGCCAGACAUUUUCUGUUGGCUUCUAGCGUUCUCUACUCUGUAGAAGACUCUAGAUGUAUUAUACCACUGAGUUUCAGUGAGACUGAUGUUCUGUAGUUGGUGCCAUAUUAUGGACCCUCUGCGCCCCUCCCUGGUUGUAUUUACACACAGGCCCAAAACACCAGAGCUUUACCGCUUUGUGGCCCAGAUCUGAUCUGCACACAGAGAGAGCAGUAGCGUGGCUUGUAGUGAAUAGGGAAACUGUUUUUUAACAUUUUGCCUGGCCUUCAAAUCUAAGGCUGCAUUCACACCAGAUCAGGCAUUGCGGCGAAAAUGCAGGUUAUCCCAUUCAUUUUGAAUGGAGUUAAUGUGUUUGGACUGCGGCUGUGAUUGUCGCAGGGGGUGCCGGGAAAAAAACUUUUGGAGAAACGCAACCCGACGUCAGGCUGCGCUGAUCAAUUGCGUAACCGGCGAUCCAGAGCUGUACAGCCUAGCAAUGAGGGAACAAAAGGCAUUAAUCGUUGCAGUUAAUGGGCCAUUAAUGUGACCCUCCCGCAGCGCCGCACAACCCUAAGGCGAAUCGUGAUCUGGUGUGAAUGCAGAAGUGUCAGCAAGUAUCCGCUCUGCUGAAGUGUCCCGACCUCUGACCUCCCUGCAGAAAGCAACAAGAGAAAAGAGACAGUCCCUACAAGAAUCAAAUAAUAAUACUGUCUUAAUGGGUAAAUCUGCAGUCAAACAGAUUUCCCCUUUUUUAGACAAUCAGGGAAAGAUCUGAUCUGUGCCACAAAGGCUUUUGGCUACACUUGAAAUGUCAGUGUAUCUUUUGUAACCUGAGGGAGAUGCUAGUUAACGCUAGGUGUACAUGGAGAUGUACAUUCACUCGGUUGGUGAAUGUUCAAAAAUGAUAUGCGGAUAGGGAAAGAAAAUGAUGUAUAACUCAGAUGUAUACUGAGAUUGUACGAGAGGUUUCUGGAGCCAUGUCAAACCUUAACGGUCAUGCUUCAGAAACCGUAUAGACGUGACAGAAGUGACCACAGAAAAACAAAAAAAAAGAGCGAAGAGGUUCAUUUUCUGUCUUUGUGUAAAUGCAACACGUGUCUUGAAGACGUUUCAGGGCGGUGAGUUUUGUUUUGUUCUGUAGAACAUCUGAUGUUUCAUCCAGAGCAAAACAACAUCCUGCACUGUCCUUUUCUUUUACUUGACAUGACAGUGUCAUCCUGCUGUGCCCAUUUUGUGUCGACCCUCUUAAUAAGCGUUAGUUAAUUCAAUAUAAGGGACGCAAAAUGGUACAGUUUAGCCUUGUGGUUGAGAGACUUGAUCUGAACCACAGGCACCCACCCAACCCUAUUUAGAGUUUGAAAUAUCAAAGAUAUUGUGAUGAGAACAGAGAAAAAGGUUUGAUAAUAUAAUUAUUUUUUACUACAUGUUUCAGGUAAUUCUUUCUAAAUAUAUUGAUAUACCUUAGCUUUGCUCAAAAAUUGUGAUAUUUUAUAAUAAUGACACUUAUAACAAAGUUAUGGAUGGAAGUACGCACAGUAUGACUUGGAGACCUACACAUGUACUAUCCAAAACUGUAUAAAAUGUAUUUCUACUGUAAUUGUGAAUUUGUGUUAUACAAAUAUAUAUUAUAUAUAUAUGUAUAUGACUAUAAAAAACAGUCAUUUUCUAUGUGUUUAAACUACAUAAGAGCUGAACAAAUGCUGAGGACGGUGUCACUGUACAUAGCUGUGAAUGAAAUCCAAUUUAAAUGACUCAUAUUGAUUGUGAAUGUACUCAUGCUUUCUGCAGUACCUACACCUACCCAACUUGAAUGCUGCUUCUUCUGUUGUGUGACAAAAAGUACUUUGACCUCCGAAGAGAGAAACCGCUGUCGAGUUAUAAGUUGGACAAAUUUUAGUGACGAUUUAACAGAACUAUUUAUUUCUUUAUUUAUUUGCACAUGCAAGUUGAAAUCCUUCCAGUUUUAAGUUUUGAGUAUUAAUGCGGAGAAAUGUAAUUGCAGAAGUAUAUAUAAUAUAUAUCAUGUGUUUAGAAUGCAUUUUGCAGACGCUAUCUGUACAUACUAUUUAAGAUACAGUUUUUACAAAAAAUAAUAUAUGUAUAAAAUUGAAAAAAUGCUGUGCAGCGAUUAUACUGGAGCCAUUUUGGGCUUUGGGACGUACCAUUUUUUCAGUAUAUAAGAAGUGUUUUGAAUAAUGUACUAAAGUCUCUAUUGUACAAAUAAUAAAAAUGUCACUAUUGGUAA
RNA transcript from Sebastes umbrosus (honeycomb rockfish), 11100 nucleotides. It is a transcript of the gene named leucine rich repeat containing 7, with no coding region annotated. The transcript has 33 exons. Lineage: Eukaryota; Metazoa; Chordata; Actinopteri; Perciformes; Sebastidae. The record is from RefSeq and is a predicted model, not a curated record.